This 668-nucleotide long non-coding RNA is filed under the name Citrus x clementina. RNAcentral describes it as "Citrus clementina (C. clementina) long non-coding RNA (CCLE_LNC005987)". Lineage: Eukaryota; Viridiplantae; Streptophyta; Magnoliopsida; Sapindales; Rutaceae. The record is from RNAcentral.
UCGGGGCGCCAAGACGUCCCAGCGGAAGAAUGGCCAAAAAACGGGCUGGCUAUUGCCUUGGUGGGGGGCGUAAGCGAAGUUCGUCCGCCGGAUUCGGAAUGGCCCCAGACUUUGCGGGCGGCCUCCGUUUGCCAAUAUUAGCCAACGGGCACAGCCGCGCCCAAAAAUCAGCCCCCGAAGGUCGGGGAACCAAGACCCCCCAGCGGAAAAAUGGCCAAAAAACGGGUGGGCUAUAGCCUUGGUGGGGGGCAUGGGCGAAGUUCGUCCGCCGGACUCGGAAUGGCCCCAGACUUUGCGGGCGGCCUCCGUGUGCCAACAUUAGGCCACGGGCACAGCUGCACGCAAAAUUCAGCCCCCGAAGGUCGGGGCGCCAAGACCCCCCAGCGGAAAAAUGGCCAAAAAACGGGUGGGCUAUUGCCUUGGUGGGGGGCGUGGGCGAAGUUCGUCCGCCGGACUCGGAAUGGCCCCAGACUUUGCGGGCGGCCUCCGUGUGCCAAAAUUAGGCCACGGGCACAGCUGCGCAAAAAAAUCAGCCCCCGAAGGUCGGGGCGCCAAGACGCCCCAGCGGAAGAAUGGCCAAAAAACGGGCUGGCUAUUGCCUUGGUGGGGGGCGUGGGCGAGUUCGUCCGCCGGACUCGGAAUGGCCCCAGACUUUGCGGGCGGCCUCC